This 262-nucleotide ribosomal RNA is filed under the name uncultured bacterium. RNAcentral's name for it is "partial 16S ribosomal RNA". It matches the Rfam family "Bacterial small subunit ribosomal RNA", at positions 337 to 616 of the family's 1533-position model. The record is from RNAcentral.
UCCUACGGGGCGCAGCAGUGGGGGAUAUUGCCCAAUGGGGGAAACCCUGAUGCAGCGACGCCGCGUGGGUGAAGAAGCGCCUCGGCGCGUAAAGCCCUGUCCGCAGGGAAGAAAAUGACGGUACCUGACUAAGAAGCCCCGGCUAACUACGUGCCAGCAGCCGCGGUAAUACGUAGGGGGCAAGCGUUAUCCGGAUUUACUGGGUGUAAAGGGAGCGUAGACGGCGGCGCAAGUCCGGAGUGAAAGCGCACGGCCCAACCGU